UUUCUUUUUUUAAAUAUAAACAUUUUAUUCCCAAUGGGGGCCUGGUGUGUGCAAUGACUGCAAACAGCAGUGUCCUUGCUGGUGUUUGCAGCCUGUUGCUUGUAUAGGUUGCACUAAGGGACCUUGGAGACAUUC
This 135-nucleotide small nucleolar RNA is filed under the name Otolemur garnettii (small-eared galago). RNAcentral describes it as "Small nucleolar RNA SNORA70". It matches the Rfam family "Small nucleolar RNA SNORA70". Rfam says of the family: snoRNA U70 seems to be exclusive to mammals and is a member of the H/ACA class of snoRNA which contain H (ANANNA) and ACA box motifs. H/ACA box snoRNAs are involved in the conversion of uridines to pseudouridines (5-ribosyluracil) a constituent of structural RNAs (transfer, ribosomal, small nuclear, and small nucleolar). The record is from Rfam by way of RNAcentral. Lineage: Eukaryota; Metazoa; Chordata; Mammalia; Primates; Galagidae.